This 365-nucleotide ribosomal RNA is filed under the name uncultured soil archaeon. Its description in RNAcentral is "bacterial SSU rRNA". It matches the Rfam family "Archaeal small subunit ribosomal RNA", at positions 54 to 425 of the family's 1478-position model. The record is from RNAcentral.
CGAGUCAACAUAGCAAUAUGUGGCAUACGGCUCAGUAACACGUAGUCAACAUGCCCAGGGGACGUGGAUAACCUCGGGAAACUGAGGAUAAACCACGAUAGGUCAUCACUUCUGGAAUGGGUAAUGACUUAAAUCUAUAUGGCCCCUGGAUUGGACUGCGGCCGAUCAGGCUGUUGGUGAGGUAAUGGCCCACCAAACCUGUAACCGGUCACGGGCUCUGAGAGGAGGAGCCCGGAGAUGGGCACUGAGACAAGGGCCCAGGCCCUAUGGGGCGCAGCAGGCGCGAAACCUCUGCAAUAGGCGAAAGCUUGACAGGGUUACUCUGAGUGAUUUCCGUUAAGGAGAUCUUUUGGCACCUCUAAAAA